UACGUAGGGUGCGAGCGUUGUCCGGAAUUACUGGGCGUAAAGAGCUCGUAGGUGGUUUGUCGCGUUGUUCGUGAAAACCGGGGGCUUAACCCUCGGCGUGCGGGCGAUACGGGCAGACUUGAGUACUGCAGGGGAGACUGGAAUUCCUGGUGUAGCGGUGGAAUGCGCAGAUAUCAGGAGGAACACCGGUGGCGAAGGCGGUUCUCUGGGCAUUACCUGACGCUGAGGAGCGAAAGUGUGGGGAGCGAACGGG
RNAcentral lists this ribosomal RNA (253 nucleotides) under uncultured bacterium. RNAcentral's name for it is "partial 16S ribosomal RNA". It matches the Rfam family "Bacterial small subunit ribosomal RNA", at positions 524 to 776 of the family's 1533-position model. The record is from RNAcentral.